CUGCCCUGAUGUGACACACACAGGAAGUAGGAGAGUGACAGUCCCCAUCGUCACCCCUGACUGUGGAGUGGCUUCCACCAGACACUUCGACAGAGCACGGAGUGAUGGAAGCCCCACAUGUGUGUCUGGUCAUCCCAGGUCCCCUGUGUGCCCGUGUGCUGUGGCCGCUAAGAGGGCAGUGCAGGGCACAGCUGGAGAGGGGGCAUCUGAUUUCAGCCUGUGUCCUGGUCCCACCACAGCCCUGAUUUAAGCGCACAGGCCUCCUUCCCAGGCAGGGUCCUCUGAGCUCACUGGUUCCCUCUGCUCUGUCUUCCAGGCUCUGCUUCAUCCACCGUUGGGCAUCUGAGUUAAUUUUCUUUACUGCGGUUAACUUCACUGACUAAUUACGCAAGACGUCCUGACCGAGCAGCAACCAGCACAGGACCUCCUCUCCACUGACACUUGGUGCUGCGGGUCUCAGUCCUGACCGACAGAGUGAGUGGCUUCUCUUGUCAUCUCCAAAAUGGAAACCACUCUGUGACCAGAGAGACUCCUGGAGGCCCCUAGAGCGGCAGUGGCAAAGAAUACAAACUAAAUCUGGUACCCAUGGAGCCGAGAGGUCUGCAACACGAGAGACCGGGAGACGGGGUUUUAACGAGCAGGGGGCACAACCAUGGGGAAGAAUGUCACUGGGAACCAGCCCAGGGCAGAAGACAGAAGAGGUGCUGACAAGUUCUGGAGUCCUCCCGGACCCUCUGAGAAGCCUCACAGGCCACAGGGUCCCUUCUCUUUACACAGAAGAAAAGCCAAGAGUCCACAGUCCCCGCUUUCUCCCCAUCAGGGCUGCAUCUGGGCAGGGACAGCACCAACUGGAUGGUCUUUUCUCCAGGAGAGAACUGGAGAGGGUUUUGCUGAGGCAGCAGGCUCUCAGAAUCAUAAAUCAACUGGGUAAGGCACAGCUUUUCAUGAAACUAAGCAGAAGUUUGAGGUUCACCAGAACCUGUUGCUGAGGACUGUAAGCACUCCCUGGACUUUCUAAACUCUCUGAGGAUUUAUUUGCAUCUGUGUUGGCAAAAUAGCUUUGAGACCUCCGGGGUUUAGCUCCCACCCUCCAUCCCUACCCACCCUCCAUCCUCACCCACCCACCCCACGCCACCCACCACCACCAGGGGGAAGUCAUUUGGAUACAUAUCCCACCGUUUGUGAUUAGGAAGUGACUCUAGGGAUAAGCUUUCUUGUUAUCGGCUUCAAAGAAGGAUUCGUCUGUGUGCCAAAGUGGAGACCAUACAGUAUCUAGGAUGUCUGUGUGGUCGUAAGCAAAAAAACCACAAGUGUCUGCCAGUUCGAGCAAGGAAGGGCUCUAUUGGAAAGAGGAGCAUCGGACAUGCUUCUGUAUUGUCAUAUCAGGGCCAUGCUUCCUUCUCAUGGGUGCCCGACAAGCGUGCAUCAAGUUUCUUGACUCCUGCUUUGGCUAAAGUUGCAGGCCCCUCAUGCCUCACUGAAUAACUCGGGUGUUUGUUUUCUCUCAUGGUACCUAAGUCUUAGGAACUGAGGGUACAAGAUAGCCCGGGAACACAAUGGCGGUUCCAUGAGCAACUCAGGGAUCUGGAGCUGCUUCCUUGAUCCCGCCAACUCCCCUGCCUUUGUUUUCACACUUCCAACAUGGCUGCCGGUGCUCCAGUCAGCAGGACAGGCAGUCACAGAUCUAUCUGCCUGCUGAGAUGACCUCUUCUAAAGAGUUUUCCUGAAAGUUUCACAUAGUGCCUUAUACUCAGAGACUCUUGGAAUGGUUUUGAAGCUGUGAUAACACCACUUGGCAAAUUAUAGCAGGAUUCAGUUAGCCCUGAAGGGUUGACAGGCAGGUGACUCUGACAGACCACCGGUGUUAACUUAUGGGGAGUUUUCUCUCAAGAACCAACAGCCCUUUGCCUUCCUUUCAUGGGUGCCCCCAUUCUGAAUAAAAAAAUUCUUGGGCUGGGGAUACACCUCAGUUGUUAAAGUGUCCAUCUUGUACGCUAGAGGUCUCAGCUAAAAGUCGGCUGUGGUAGCCCAUGCCCACAGCCCCAGUGCUGAGGAGGGAAAAACAGAAGGAUCCCUAGGUUUGACCUGCUGGCCCACCUAGCUGAAUUAGAGAGCUCCAGGUUGAGUGAGAGACUCUGUCUCAAGAAUUAAGGGAAAAAGGGACGGAGGUGUCGACCUGGUCUCUGCACGUGCAGACACACAAACCUGAGCACACAGUAACAUCUCGUGUGUACCUAUUCACACCCGUGUGUGUACUCACACCUGUGUGUGUACUCACACCUGUGUGUGUACUCACACCUGUGUGUGUACUUCCAUCAAAAAGUGAACAAGAUGACACCCCCCGCUCCCGUCCCUCCCCAAAAAACCCCAAGAGCAGGAUCCAGGGGCAGAGCCCACCUCUGUCCGGCUCUCUUCUUUGUCCCUUGAAUAUUAAUAAGGAUUAAUUACGGUCUGAGUUGCUACGACCCCACCCUCUCUUCUCUUAGAGCCAAGAGCCAUUGUCAACACUGUAGGGGACCUGAACCUCGGAGCUCCUGAGGCGUGACAACUCCUUCUGCUUUCAAAAGCUGCAUUUCCACGUUUUCUGAACAGCGAGUCCUUCAUGUAUACAGUUAAUUGCAUAAAUAAACAUUUUUUUCCUCACCUGAA
Molecule: non-coding RNA, 2649 nt
Organism: Rattus norvegicus (Norway rat)
Lineage: Eukaryota; Metazoa; Chordata; Mammalia; Rodentia; Muridae
Source: RefSeq, a predicted model, not a curated record